CUCUGAUACGAGCCGAUUUCAGGAAAGUUCUAGAUUUAUCUGAAGUUCUAGUUUUGUCAAAUAAUUUAUAUAUAAAUAUAUAUUUUGUAGCUUCGUCUUGAAACGAUUGCUUGAAAUUUGAGCUAAAAUAAUACAGGUGACAGUUCACAAUGGUGAAAGAAACUGCUUACUACGACAUCCUUGGAGUGAAACCUCGUGCUACCCCAGAUGAGAUCAAAAAGGCAUAUAGAAAGCUUGCUUUAAAAUUUCACCCCGACAAAAACCCAGAUGAUCCGAACACGUUCAAACAGAUCAGCAUGGCAUACGAAGUUCUGUCCGACGCAAAGAAGCGAGAGGUGUAUGACAGAGGAGGGGAGGAGGCCAUCAAGGGUGGGGGGUCAUCCGGCGGGGGUUUCCACUCACCCAUGGACAUCUUUGAUAUGUUUUUUCACAGCGGGGGGAACCGGGGCAGGGGCCGGCAGAAACAUAAGGACGUGAUACACCCAGUGAGUGUGACACUGGAAGAGCUGUAUAAGGGGUCAACACGCAAACUGGCCCUGCAGAAGAAAGUCAUAUGUCCCAAGUGUGAUGGUCAGGGAGGUAAGGAUGUCGAGAAGUGCGGUCCGUGUCGCGGUACCGGCACCAAGGUGAUCAUACAGCAGCUUGGCAUCGGGAUUGUCCAGCAGAUGCAGACCAUGUGUUCAGACUGCCAGGGCGAGGGAGAGAAGAUCAGUCCGAAAAACCGCUGCAAGAACUGUCAGGGUCAUAAGACAAUUAAGGAAAGGAAAAUCUUGGAAGUUCACAUCGAUCCUGGUAUGAAAGAUGGACAACAGGUGUGUUUUACCGGGGAGGGAGAUCAAGAGCCGGGGCUUGAACCGGGGGACGUGAUCAUCGUGUUAGAGGAGCAGCGUCACGCCGUGUUCAAGCGGAAAGGUCACGACCUCAUCAUGACCAUGGAGAUUGAGCUAGUUGAGGCUCUCUGCGGCUUCCACAAACAGAUAGAGACACUGGAUAAACGUAUAUUGUCAGUAAAAUCUUUCCCAGGUGAAGUGAUACCCCACGGUACCAUCAAGUGUAUAUUGAACGAAGGCAUGCCACACUAUCGAAACAUCAUAGAAAAGGGUCGGCUCAUCAUACAGUUUCACGUGAAUUUCCCACCGGACAAUUUCCAACCGGCUGACAAACUUGAAAAGCUGGAGAAGUUGUUACCUGCGCGACCAGAUGUGAUUGAGCCGGAUGACUGUGAAAUAUGUACACUGUCUGUGAUGGACCCAGAGGAAGAGCAACGGAGGCAUCGUGGCGAGGCAUACGACUCGGACGAUGAAACACGUGGACAGAGAGUCCAGUGUGCGCAGCAUUAACGUAGAUGUCGGUGGCGUGGUCGGGAGGGCGAGCGAUCGUGGAUGGUUUCACUGGUACCAUUGUCUUCUAGCGUUUAGCAUUAGGCGCAGAAACCAGUCCUGAACAUGCCUCUGUUUAUGCUGUGAAAAAGACCAGUCGUGAAUUGGAAUGUAUACAUAUCACAGUUUAACUGUAAUACAUGUAGGUCUAGGAUGUAUACGUAUCACAGUUUAACUGUAAUACAUGUAGGUCUAGGAUGUAUAAGACAGGUUUUACUGUUAAGACGGGUUUUACUGUUAUGAAAUCUGUUCUGUUGAGUAUCGGAGCGAGGGCCUAUAUUAUUUGUUCUGUUGAGUAUCGGAGCGAGGGCCUAUAUUAUUUGAACCCAUCUUAGCACUACGAAAUUGUAAAAACCAUCGUACGUUAUUAUAUCACUAUGACGUAUGCUAUAGUGACGUCAUAGCCUACAAUGGUUUUACGAUAUCGUAGCACUAAGAUAGCUUCGAAAAUCAUUAGCCAGGAUUGAUGUAUAAAUGGAAUUCCAGGAUGAAUGUAUUAAAGAAGGUCAGGAUUGAUGUACAAAAUAGGUUGAGGAUUAAUGUAUAGGUUUUACGAUAAUGAGGCAAGGAUAAUGUAUAAAUUACAGCUUGAUUGUUGCAGGUCAAGAAUUAAUAUAAAGUUUAUUUUGUUUAACGACACCCACUAGAGCACAUUGGUUUAUUAAUCAUCAGCUAUUGGAUGUCAAACAUUUGGUAAUUUUGACAUAUAGUCUCCGAGAGGCAACCCGCUACAUUUUUCAAUUAGUAACGAGGAAUCUUUUAUAAUCGCCAUCCCACAGACAGGAUAGUACAUACCAUGGCCUUUGAUAUAUACCAGUCGUGGCACACUGGCUGGAACGAGGAUUAAUACAUCAUAAUUUUAACUGUAGCAAGUCCAGAAUUGAUGUAUACAUUAGUUGUAAAUAUACCAGUCAAUUCCAGGUUGACUGUCACAGUGCCAGGAAUGAUGUGCACAUCAGUUUUAAUUGUAAAAGUAAACUGAAGUUGGACUGUUACAGACCAGGGCCCAUAUUUUCGAAGCUAUCUUAGCCUACGAAAUCGUGAAAUCAUCGUAAGCUAUGACGUCGCAACCUACGACGGUUUUACGAUUUCGUAGCGCUAAGAUGGCUUCGAUAAUAGAGCCCCAGGAUCAAUUUUAACUGUGACAGUAAAUUACAGUUUGACAGUCAAAGAACUAGGAUUAAUGUAAACAUUACAGUUUUAACUGUAAAAGUAAAUUAAAGUUUUAACUCUAAAAGUAAAUUAAAGUUUCACUCUAUCUUGGUUUUAAAUGUAAAGGUAAAUUCAAACGAGUGUUACAGGCUCAGGAUUAAUAUAUACAUAUACAUCACUGUUUUAACUGUAACAGUAAAUUGCAGUUCAACUGUCAGAGGGCCAUGAUUAAUGUAAGUGUUACAGUUUUAACUGUAACAGGGCCAGGAUUUGUGCAUGUAUCACAGAACUACAUAUUAUUGUAUUACUUUUGAAAAGUAUACAAGUAUAAAAUGUUAUUAACAGGGGCUUGAUUAAUAUAUAAAUUGCAGUUUAUCAUAGUAUUAACAUAUACAGGGUUUUAUUUCAAACAUUUGACUUGACACCCAUAGCUUUGAAAUUGAGAUUUUUCAGUUUCAUUUCAAAAACAUCUUAUUAAGCCAAGUUAGAAUUUAAAAAGUAAUGUUGUAUAUAUGUAUAUACAUGUACUUGUGUUUAUUCAAAUAAAUAUAUCUAUUGUGGCAUUACAAAACGUUCUUGGGGAGGGAAGGUUUGUGAAGUGAAUGAGAUUUACAUUCAGAUUGGGAAUUUUCUACUAUGAAAUUGAAACGACAUUGGUGGGGAAUGGUGCCCAUUAUCGAAGUCUAUAAACAUAGGUGAUAAAACCCUGAUACAUAAAUCAGUUCAACUGUUACAGAGUCAGUAUUAAUGUAUAAAUUAGUUAAAUUGUUACAGGGCCAAGAUUAGAUUAGAUUUACUAUAAUAUGGUAAAGCAUUACGGUAUACAUGAAGAGUUUUAUUGAAAAACGCGAUAAACGCCCCAAUACACACCCACUCCUAAAAACGUUUUAUUCCAAACCACCAUAAACACUGUGCCAGUUUCUCUGUAAUCUGCGAUAUAUUCUCAGACAGUCGUAUCACGUUUUGCUGAAAACUGAAUUUGAACUUGUGUUUGUCUACGUGUGAACAGCGUCCGAGUGGUGUUCGCACAAUGGUUUUUAAUAUGGUGUUUAUCAUGUUUUGCGUUGAAACUCUUCACAUGUAAGUUACAAUUUAAUUGUAACAGGUCCAGGAUUUAUGUAUAAAACAUAGUUUGUUUCAGGUGCUGGAUUAACCUACAUGUAUGCAAGUACGUCACCGUUUCCCUGUUACAGGGCCAGAAUUAAUAUAUUAAUCACAGUUUAGCUGUUAAAGGCUUGUGAUGAAUUCCAGUGGAAAAAAAAAAAAAAGGACUGAUGUGAUACGGAAAAAUAUCCCUGCGUUGUGAGGAUGCGAUUUCAAAGUUUCUGUUUGUCUUUCAGUACUACAUGUAUAUACAUGUAGUAAAUAUGAGUGAUUAAAUGAGGCCUCUGAACAUUCAACACAAAACAGUUUUGUUCACCCAUCCCAAAAUGAAAUUGGUUAAAUUAAGUAACGUGUUACGAAGUUUGUUUUGUUUAACAACACCACUAGAGCACAUUGAUAAUUAAUCAUCGGCUAUUGGAUGGCGUGUUACGAGACUAGACCACUCAUAAACAGUGACUGGUACCAUUGUCUUUUAUCAUAUAUCACAUUUAUGUAACGUUAGGUCAGUGAGUGACAGCGAUUACAGGGUUCGAAACUCGCCAGAAAAUAUGGUGGGCCAAAAAAUAAUGAUGCAUGUUGGCAAAUUAUGGUAAGCGAACCACAAGCAAGAUUUUAAUGUGGAAUACAAAUAUUAACAGUGGCUCAUAUGUUAUAGCUCUAAAGAAGAUAAUAUUAUUUGGGCGACUAACUCCAUUAGUUUUUUAAUAUUUAAGUCGCCCAAUCAGGACAUUGGUCGCAUUUGGUGACCUGGCCACAGGCCGUUUUCAGCCCUGGAUUAACUGCCUUCCGUAGCAUAUCCCUCUUAAAUGGUUUUUUGCAUUUGCGUAAUCCAUACAUGAUUUAUUCAAAUGUACAAUUCUCAGAGGCCAGUAAAUGGAAUGCAGACCACUGUACAAGUACAUGUAUGGAACAGACGGUACAAUUUUGAAAUAAAAAAACAUGUUUGAAAUACUGUAUA
This 4593-nucleotide unclassified non-coding RNA is filed under the name Gigantopelta aegis. RNAcentral describes it as "dnaJ homolog subfamily A member 1-like, transcript variant X1". Lineage: Eukaryota; Metazoa; Mollusca; Gastropoda; Neomphalida; Peltospiridae. The record is from RNAcentral.